This 1162-nucleotide ribosomal RNA is filed under the name uncultured organism. RNAcentral describes it as "bacterial SSU rRNA". It matches the Rfam family "Bacterial small subunit ribosomal RNA", at positions 40 to 1197 of the family's 1533-position model. The record is from RNAcentral.
CGGGAGGCUUAACACAUGCAAGUCGAGGGGCAUCACGAGGUAGCAAUACUUUGGUGGCGACCGGCGCACGGGUGAGUAACGCGUAUGCAACCUGCCUAUUACAGGAGGAUAGCUUCCGGAAACGGAAAUUAAUACUCCAUAAAGUUUUAAUAAGGCAUCUUAUAAAAAUUAAAGCUCCGGCGGUAAUAGAUGGGCAUGCGUAACAUUAGCUAGUUGGUAAGGUAACGGCUUACCCAAGGCAACGAUGUUUAGGGGUCCUGAGAGGGUAACCCCCCACACUGGUACUGAGACACGGACCAGACUCCUACGGGAGGCAGCAGUGAGGAAUAUUGGUCAAUGGGCGCAAGCCUGAACCAGCCAUCCCGCGUGCAGGAAGACGGCCCUAUGGGUUGUAAACUGCUUUUCUGAGGGAAGAAUAGUUUUGAUUCGUUCAAGACAUGACGGUACCUCAGGAAUAAGCAUCGGCUAACUCCGUGCCAGCAGCCGCGGUAAUACGGAGGAUGCAAGCGUUAUCCGGAUUUAUUGGGUUUAAAGGGUGCGUAGGCGGACCUGUAAGUCAGUGGUGAAAUCCUGCAGCUUAACUGUAGCAUUGCCAUUGAAACUGUAGGUCUUGAGUUAGGUUGAGGUAGGCGGAAUGUGUAAUGUAGCGGUGAAAUGCUUAGAUAUUACACAGAACACCGAUUGCGUAGGCAGCUUACUGGACCUUAACUGACGCUGAGGCACGAAAGCGUGGGGAGCGAACAGGAUUAGAUACCCUGGUAGUCCACGCCGUAAACUAUGAUUACUCGUUGUUGGCAAUACACAGUCAGCGACCAAGCGAAAGCGAUAAGUAAUCCACCUGGGGAGUACGCUCGCAAGAGUGAAACUCAAAGGAAUUGACGGGGGCCCGCACAAGCGGUGGAACAUGUGGUUUAAUUCGAUGAUACGCGAGGAACCUUACCUGGGCUUAAAUGUAGACUGCAUAGUGUGGANACGCACUUCUCUUUCGAGACUGUUUACAAGGUGCUGCAUGGUUGUCGUCAGCUCGUGCCGUGAGGUGUCGGGUUAAGUCCCAUAACGAGCGCAACCCUUAUCGUUAGUGCACAUCGGUUCAAGCCGGGGACUCUAGCGAAACUGCCACCGUAAGGUGAGAGGAAGGUGGGGAUGACGUCAAAUCAGCACG